Molecule: long non-coding RNA, 518 nt
Organism: Bos taurus (domestic cattle)
Lineage: Eukaryota; Metazoa; Chordata; Mammalia; Artiodactyla; Bovidae
Source: Ensembl
GUAGUGUUAGUCUUGAUAAUGCCUCAUCUUCUCCAUCACGGCAGGAAAACAUUUUGAGUUACACACGUCCCUGAAUAGGCAAAGGAAUAAAGGUUUAUCUGUUGUCAGGAAUUAAAGAUGCAAAAAGUGGGGGGUUAAGACUGAUGAGCCCUGGGUUCUAGCAGCAUAUCCCCAAGCAAGGAUUUCUGGAGCCACAGUGAACACAGGAAAGCAGCACCCAAUGGGCACUGAAAUAUUAACUAAUGAUGAGUUGCCCUGAGUCAGCAGGUGCCUGGGCACUGGGACUAGAUCAUUUUUCAGAGCCAGGCAGGCAAGGCAGAGAAUUGGAUUUACCCUGCUGUUGUUGGCUUGAAGAUGGAAGGAGCCAUGUGGAUAGUGUGAAAAAGAAGUGAAUUCUGCCCAGCCACCACUGAGACCCCCUGAGCCUCAGAUGAGAACUGACUACUUCCUGACUGAUAGCUUGAUUUCAGCCUGUGAGAACCUGAGCAAAGAACUCAGCUGUGCCUAGACUUCUGAUC